Molecule: ribosomal RNA, 612 nt
Filed under: uncultured beta proteobacterium
Lineage: Bacteria; Pseudomonadati; Pseudomonadota; Betaproteobacteria
Description: bacterial SSU rRNA
Rfam family: Bacterial small subunit ribosomal RNA
Source: RNAcentral
CCCAUAUGGUCGACCUGCAGGCGGCCGCGAAUUCACUAGUGAUUAGAGUUGAUCAUGGCUCAGAUUGAACGCUGGCGGGAUGCCUUACACAUGCAAGUCGAACGGCAGCGCGGACUUCGGUCUGGCGGCGAGUGGCGAACGGGUGAGUAAAGUAUCGGAACGUGCCCAGUAGCGGGGGAUAACUACGCGAAAGCGUGGCUAAUACCGCAUACGCCCUAAGGGGGAAAGCGGGGGAUCUUAGGACCUCGCACUAUUGGAGCGGCCGAUAUCGGAUUAGCUAGUUGGUGGGGUAACGGCUCACCAAGGCGACGAUCCGUAGCUGGUUUGAGAGGACGACCAGCCACACUGGGACUGAGACACGGCCCAGACUCCUACGGGAGGCAGCAGUGGGGAAUUUUGGACAAUGGGGGCAACCCUGAUCCAGCCAUCCCGCGUGUGCGAUGAAGGCCUUCGGGUUGUAAAGCACUUUUGGCAGGAAAGAAACGGCGCCGGAUAAUACCUGGCGCAUCUGACGGUACCUGCAGAAUAAGCACCGGCUAACUACGUGCCAGCAGCCGCGGUAAUACGAAUCGAAUUCCCGCGGCCGCCAUGGCGGCCGGGAGCAUGCGACGU